This 254-nucleotide ribosomal RNA is filed under the name uncultured bacterium. RNAcentral's name for it is "partial 16S ribosomal RNA". It matches the Rfam family "Bacterial small subunit ribosomal RNA", at positions 57 to 305 of the family's 1533-position model. The record is from RNAcentral.
GCAAGUCGAGCGGUAACAGAGAGUAGCUUGCUACUUUGCUGACGAGCGGCGGACGGGUGAGUAAUGCUUGGGAAUAUGCCUUUAGGUGGGGGACAACAGUUGGAAACGACUGCUAAUACCGCAUAAUGUCUACGGACCAAAGGGGGGGAUGCUUCGGCACCUCUCGCCUAUAGAUUAGCCCAAGUGAGAUUAGCUAGUUGGUGAGGUAAUGGCUCACCAAGGCGACGAUCUCUAGCUGGUUUGAGAGGAUGAUC